CCCCCACCCUUCUCUUUGGAAUGUGGAUGUUGUGUUCUCUAGACUGUUUGCUGUUGUCUGGAGGUGCUGGAAUCUUUGGAGGACCCUGAGAAAAUUAGGAUAAUGGUCAAGUCCUGGCUAGAACAGUCUGUGAAGUUGGACCAUCUCACCCAGGAGCCGUGAAGCUGUUCUGGAUGCAGAACUCUGAGGAAACUGCAGCAGAGGCACUCUGAGAGACUGGAUCAGCUGGAGCACCCACUUUCAUUGGUGUCUGGUCCCCUUGCUCUGAAAACACAUAAACUUUCAAAGGUCGACCCCCACCUUAUGACUUCCUCCAAAGAAAAGAAGAAAAGGAAAAAAUACCAAGUCCAAUUUAUGUUGCUCAUAUACUUACUGGAACAUGGCCAAACUCCCAGUGGCCAGCCCCUUAAAUUAACCUGAGUCCUUUUCUACCCCCAACCCUGCUAGAAGCCAUCAUCUAUGAAGAGCUACACUUCAGGAUCCUAUCAGAACUUUAAGAAUUCUUUUCAAUAGC
Peromyscus eremicus (cactus mouse) is the source of this 514-nucleotide long non-coding RNA. RefSeq lists it as uncharacterized. Lineage: Eukaryota; Metazoa; Chordata; Mammalia; Rodentia; Cricetidae. The record is from RefSeq and is a predicted model, not a curated record. The transcript is spliced from 2 exons.